CAGUCUCUUGAUCUCCAAAGCAGGGAUGAUGAUAGAAUAGUAGGCUUGUUGUGAGGAUUAAAGGAAGAAUCCAGAAAAGCAGUUUACAAUAGUGUCUGGACCAAACUAAGCACUGGAUAUGUGUUAAGUACAAUUACGUGAGUCAUGUUUGCCAUACGCCCUCUGCACGCUGCCUGACUAAUCCUCCAGUACUUAUCCCCAUGGGUUAGCUGUACUCUGGCCCUCAAAUUCCAGGUCUCUGAUGGGAUUGGGCCUUGGAUGGGCGCCAGCACACAUGUACAUUUGCUAGCCUUUUACUCAAGACUGAACCCUUUCUUUUCCUUAGGCAUCAUUUGAGACCCUGCCUCCUGUUUGACUUCAAGUGUCCCCUGAGGCUUAGAGCCAGCCUCUGGGUGCCAGCCCCAUCCUCCAGACUGGAAGCCCUCAGAUGCCCGUUUGUGGAACCCUGCCCCUGCUCCUCUCCUUGGGUAGUCCAGCAAUCACUCCUGCCACUGG
RNAcentral lists this long non-coding RNA (495 nucleotides) under Callithrix jacchus (white-tufted-ear marmoset). RNAcentral describes it as "lncRNA (ENSCJAG00000071907.1)". Lineage: Eukaryota; Metazoa; Chordata; Mammalia; Primates; Cebidae. The record is from RNAcentral.